Molecule: unclassified non-coding RNA, 476 nt
Filed under: Hevea brasiliensis (rubber tree)
Lineage: Eukaryota; Viridiplantae; Streptophyta; Magnoliopsida; Malpighiales; Euphorbiaceae
Source: RNAcentral
GGAUUUAUUAAUGCAGCUGUGAAAUACACUAUUUCUUCAAAAGUGUCAUAUGUACACUAAGCAUUCUUUGUGAACUUACAACAUAAUUCAAUAUUCUGCAAAAACGAGAUAUAGUUCAACAUCAUGACUUGCCAUUAGUUAGCAAGUCCUUGUUUCCUGCCAUCCUCAUUUGGUGAAUUCACGACUACAUCUGUCAGCUUGCAAGGCUCGGCUUCUUCCAGCAUAUGAACUACCAUCCUCAUGGAAGGUCUUAAUGCUGGCGUCCUUGAUGUGCAAUGAACUGCAAUUUUAAGAACCUCAACUGCAUCUUCUUUGAACCCCUCGAAAAUGCUUGAAUCCACCAAAUCGAUCAUGCUAGUAUUGUUUCUUAUCUUGCUACAAACCCAUUGGACUAUGUCAAUGUUCUCCCCGUAUUCUGCCUCCACUGGCUUCUUUCCAGUCACCAAUUCCAUUAGCACCACCCCGAAGCUAUAGAC